AGAUUGAACGCUGGCGGCAGGCCUAACACAUGCAAGUCGAGCGGUAGAGAGGUGCUUGCAUCUCUUGAGAGCGGCGGACGGGUGAGUAAUGCCUAGGAAUCUGCCUAGUGGUGGGGGAUAACGUUCGGAAACGGACGCUAAUACCGCAUACGUCCUACGGGAGAAAGCGGGGGACCUUCGGGCCUCGCGCCAUUAGAUGAGCCUAGGUCGGAUUAGCUAGUUGGUGAGGUAAUGGCUCACCAAGGCGACGAUCCGUAACUGGUCUGAGAGGAUGAUCAGUCACACUGGAACUGAGACACGGUCCAGACUCCUACGGGAGGCAGCAGGUGGGGAAUAGUUGGGAACAAGUGGGACGAAAGCCGUGAUCCAGCCAUGCCGCGUGUGUGAAGAGGUCUUCGGAUU
This 402-nucleotide ribosomal RNA is filed under the name uncultured soil bacterium. Its description in RNAcentral is "bacterial SSU rRNA". It matches the Rfam family "Bacterial small subunit ribosomal RNA", at positions 26 to 424 of the family's 1533-position model. The record is from RNAcentral.